RNAcentral lists this long non-coding RNA (764 nucleotides) under Phoenix dactylifera (date palm). RNAcentral's name for it is "long non-coding RNA (PDAC_LNC018044)". Lineage: Eukaryota; Viridiplantae; Streptophyta; Magnoliopsida; Arecales; Arecaceae. The record is from RNAcentral.
GGCCCACAGUGAACCGGGCCCACAGUGAACCGGCCCAUGUUGGGCCCUGUUCGGCCCGUAGGGCCAUCUUCCUCCCCCAAUCCCCCCCACGGCAGGGGAUGACCGAGAGGGAGAGCGGAAGAGGAAGGGGGCGGCGGGGUGGCCAGAGGCCACCCCUCGGUCGACGGCCAGCCGGCCGCAGUGGCGGCUGGCGGCCGUUGCGGUGGCCGGGGUCAAGAUCCAACCGAGAUGGUCUCGGUUCAUGAGGCCAAAACAAAGGAAGGGAAGCUUUCUAUUUGGCAUGGAAUCAAGGGCAAAAGAGGAGGGCUUACCGGCGGUGGCAGAGGCAGUGGGAUCUCGGUCGAGGCUGCUCAAUCCGGCGAUCAAGCAGUGGCGACGGCGACGGCGACGCUUUCCGAAAGGGAAGUGGAUCCCAAAACAGGGGAGGGCACGGGUGGUGAUGGUGGUGGAUCCGGCGGCCCGCAAGCCACUUGGGAGGCAAGAGCAGAGGAAGAAGAGGGAGGAGAAGGAGGAGAGGAGGGGGGUUCGGUGGUGCCCUAGGGAAGAAAGGGUGGGGUUUUUAUCAUCCCCACCAUAACGGCCCUCCGCCGCGAAAAUCGCGGCGGUCGGGCGAGAUCCGCGGCCGUGAAUUGGCCGCGGAUUGGCUAGGGGGGGCGCCGCGGAAUACCCGCGGCGUCCUUGCCCCUUUUGGUCCCCCGGAGGAGCCGGAGAGGAUGGCAAUCCUCUCCGGUUCCUCCCAUAUCAGGAUCGGGGCUGAAGUCGGC